RNAcentral lists this ribosomal RNA (1633 nucleotides) under Klebsiella pneumoniae. RNAcentral's name for it is "bacterial LSU rRNA". It matches the Rfam family "Bacterial large subunit ribosomal RNA", at positions 1313 to 2925 of the family's 2925-position model. Lineage: Bacteria; Pseudomonadati; Pseudomonadota; Gammaproteobacteria; Enterobacterales; Enterobacteriaceae. The record is from RNAcentral.
UAAAGCGGGUGAAAAGCCCGCUCGCCGGAAGACCAAGGGUUCCUGUCCAACGUUAAUCGGGGCAGGGUGAGUCGACCCCUAAGGCGAGGCCGAAAGGCGUAGUCGAUGGGAAACAGGUUAAUAUUCCUGUACUUGGUGUUACUGCGAAGGGGGGACGGAGAAGGCUAUGUUAGCCGGGCGACGGUUGUCCCGGUUUAAGCAUGUAGGCUGAUUGUCCAGGCAAAUCCGGAUAAUCAAGGCUGAGGUGUGAUGACGAGGCACUACGGUGCUGAAGUAACAAAUGCCCUGCUUCCAGGAAAAGCCUCUAAGCAUCAGGUAACAUUAAAUCGUACCCCAAACCGACACAGGUGGUCAGGUAGAGAAUACCAAGGCGCUUGAGAGAACUCGGGUGAAGGAACUAGGCAAAAUGGUGCCGUAACUUCGGGAGAAGGCACGCUGGUGUGUAGGUGAAGUCCCUGCGGAUGGAGCUGAGACCAGUCGAAGAUACCAGCUGGCUGCAACUGUUUAUUAAAAACACAGCACUGUGCAAACACGAAAGUGGACGUAUACGGUGUGACGCCUGCCCGGUGCCGGAAGGUUAAUUGAUGGGGUUAUCCGUAAGGAGAAGCUCUUGAUCGAAGCCCCGGUAAACGGCGGCCGUAACUAUAACGGUCCUAAGGUAGCGAAAUUCCUUGUCGGGUAAGUUCCGACCUGCACGAAUGGCGUAAUGAUGGCCAGGCUGUCUCCACCCGAGACUCAGUGAAAUUGAACUCGCUGUGAAGAUGCAGUGUACCCGCGGCAAGACGGAAAGACCCCGUGAACCUUUACUAUAGCUUGACACUGAACAUUGAGCCUUGAUGUGUAGGAUAGGUGGGAGGCUUUGAAGCGUGGACGCCAGUCUGCGUGGAGCCAACCUUGAAAUACCACCCUUUAAUGUUUGAUGUUCUAACGUUGGCCCCUGACCGGGGUUGCGGACAGUGUCUGGUGGGUAGUUUGACUGGGGCGGUCUCCUCCCAAAGCGUAACGGAGGAGCACGAAGGUUAGCUAAUCCUGGUCGGACAUCAGGAGGUUAGUGCAAUGGCAUAAGCUAGCUUGACUGCGAGCGUGACGGCGCGAGCAGGUGCGAAAGCAGGUCAUAGUGAUCCGGUGGUUCUGAAUGGAAGGGCCAUCGCUCAACGGAUAAAAGGUACUCCGGGGAUAACAGGCUGAUACCGCCCAAGAGUUCAUAUCGACGGCGGUGUUUGGCACCUCGAUGUCGGCUCAUCACAUCCUGGGGCUGAAGUAGGUCCCAAGGGUAUGGCUGUUCGCCAUUUAAAGUGGUACGCGAGCUGGGUUUAGAACGUCGUGAGACAGUUCGGUCCCUAUCUGCCGUGGGCGCUGGAGAAUUGAGGGGGGCUGCUCCUAGUACGAGAGGACCGGAGUGGACGCAUCACUGGUGUUCGGGUUGUCAUGCCAAUGGCACUGCCCGGUAGCUAAAUGCGGAAGAGAUAAGUGCUGAAAGCAUCUAAGCACGAAACUUGCCCCGAGAUGAGUUCUCCCUGAGACUUUAAGUCUCCUGAAGGAACGUUAAAGACGAUGACGUUGAUAGGCCGGGUGUGUAAGCGCAGCGAUGCGUUGAGCUAACCGGUACUAAUGAACCGUGAGGCUUAACCUU